CACCAUAACCUUUUUGGUUUUUGCUUCAUUGAGAUCAUUAGUCAUAUGACUUCUGGUUUAAUCAGAUGCUUCUUGCAGAGAGGCAUUGCACACGUGCCUAUCUUCCUCACCCACCUUUUGGAGCUGAGGUAAACAGGCAAGAGUGCAGACCAUGCUCAACUGAACAAGUGUCCUUUCUGCAUUUCAUUGCAAGACUGUCCUGGCAAAUGUACG
Molecule: non-coding RNA, 213 nt
Organism: Pelobates cultripes (western spadefoot toad)
Lineage: Eukaryota; Metazoa; Chordata; Amphibia; Anura; Pelobatidae
Source: the annotation of a GenBank genome assembly